RNAcentral lists this ribosomal RNA (153 nucleotides) under Escherichia coli. RNAcentral's name for it is "partial 16S ribosomal RNA". It matches the Rfam family "Bacterial small subunit ribosomal RNA", at positions 1 to 145 of the family's 1533-position model. Lineage: Bacteria; Pseudomonadati; Pseudomonadota; Gammaproteobacteria; Enterobacterales; Enterobacteriaceae. The record is from RNAcentral.
UUAAAUUGAAGAGUUUGAUCAUGGCUCAGAUUGAACGCUGGCGGCAGGCCUAACACAUGCAAGUCGAACGGUAACAGGAAGAAGCUUGCUUCUUUGCUGACGAGUGGCGGACGGGUGAGUAAUGUCUGGGAAACUGCCUGAUGGAGGGGGAUA